AUUAAUAUAUUAUAAAUAAUUAUAUUUGAUUUCCAAUCAAAAGAUCUAAAAUCUAGUAUUAAUA
Molecule: transfer RNA, 64 nt
Filed under: Scydmaeninae sp. 840218
Lineage: Eukaryota; Metazoa; Arthropoda; Insecta; Coleoptera; Staphylinidae
Description: tRNA-Gly
Source: RNAcentral